Molecule: transfer RNA, 64 nt
Filed under: Lamprolepis smaragdina
Lineage: Eukaryota; Metazoa; Chordata; Lepidosauria; Squamata; Scincidae
Description: partial tRNA-Tyr
Source: RNAcentral
UUGAUAAGGGCGGGACUACACCCGCCUAUGCAGGGCUACAACCUGGCGCCUACCUCGGCCACCU